Molecule: long non-coding RNA, 1367 nt
Organism: Ictalurus punctatus (channel catfish)
Lineage: Eukaryota; Metazoa; Chordata; Actinopteri; Siluriformes; Ictaluridae
Source: Ensembl
CAGAAAUGGGCGUGCUAUUCCUGGUGGUGUUAUUGUUUGUUGGAGCGAUUGCCCGUCCAGAAAAUGGCAGGCGUUCAGGUCAGCAAGGUCCUGGACCAAGGGGAGGAGUUUCUGGGCCAAUGGGUGGAGGUUCUGGACCAAGGGGAGGAGUUUCUGGGCCAAUGGGUGGAGGUUCUGGACCAAGGGGAGGAGUUUCUGGGCCAAUGGGUGGAGGUUCUGGACCAAGGGGAGGAGUUUCUGGGCCAAUGGGUGGAGGUUCUGGACCAAGGGGAGGAGGUUCUGGGCCUAAGGGAAGACAACCUUGGCCAAAGAAUGAAAGUUCUGAGCUAAUGGGAGGACAUCAUGGGCCAAAGAAUGAAAGUUCUGAGCUAAUGGGAGGACGUCAUGGGCCAAAGAAUGAAGGUUCUGGACGAUUGGAUGGAAGAGGGUCUCAGCCUCCAGUUGAGGAUUUUGGAUCUGUGAGGCCUUCAGAUUACAGAGGACCACAUGGCCGAGGACCACAUGGCCGAGGACCACAUGGCCGAGGACCACAUGGCGGAGGAAGACCAACUCAGUCCAUGCCCAACGUGCGGCUCAUCCCCAUUUUCAAGGUGGACAAUAUAACACUCCAGGGUCUCAAUAUCACUCUGCCCCUGAAAGAGGGAGAAAAUAUUUUCAUCUUACCAAGAACGGACAGGACUGCUCCUCGGGCGUUUGCGGUAUUUGGACUCAUUUCUGUUAUUUAUAACUUUAUAUUCACAUUUCACUCAAAUGUCUGAACUGAUUAAUAAAGCUCUCUAAUUUACAGUAUGGAGGCAUGAUUGGUCCUCAGGUAACACACACACACACACACACACACACACACACACCCCUUUAUUAACACAUUCCUGUCAUUAAUAAACUAACCCCCCCUCCUGUGUUCAGCCCUAUCUGAAGAUCAUCUACAACCCCAGUGCUGCGGUAAUUCACAUUUCAGUUCAUAUUAUCUUUAUUUCAUUUCUGUCACAGCGAAUGAAAAACAAACAGCUUUUCUUUUCCAACAGCAACGGUUCUCAUUUGAAUAUGGAGUUAUUCAACUCCUUCCAUCUUUCCUGAAGGCUGAAUCGGAGAGUAAUGAAGAUACAGCGGUGUAGGAGGAAAGACAAAUCUACAUCAGACAUGGCUUUAAGGGAAAACAGAUGUCCAGAGAUCAUCGAUCACUACAGCGUUAAGGACUUUUAAUGACUUUCGGGAUUAUGUAGGCGUGUGUGUGUAGAUGUUGUGUAAUGUGUGUAGAGGUGUGUGUAGAUGUGUAGAUGUAAAUGUGUGUAGAUGUGUGUGUAGGUGUGUGUGUGCAGGUGUAGUGGGCUUCUUUAUUAAUGAAAUGUCUGUAAUGAUGGAUUUUUGUC